This 515-nucleotide ribosomal RNA is filed under the name Arthrobotrys microscaphoides. Its description in RNAcentral is "SSU rRNA". It matches the Rfam family "Eukaryotic small subunit ribosomal RNA", at positions 63 to 569 of the family's 1831-position model. The record is from RNAcentral. Lineage: Eukaryota; Fungi; Ascomycota; Orbiliomycetes; Orbiliales; Orbiliaceae.
GGGUACCUUUUUGGUGCAGCAGCCAGUCUGGGGGAGCUGCCAAAUGGCUCAUUAAAUCAGUUAUCGUUUAUUUGAUAGUACUUUACUACUUGGAUAACCGUGGUAAUUCUAGAGCUAAUACAUGCUAAAAAUCCCGACCUCCGGAAGGGAUGUAUUUAUUAGAUAAAAAACCAAUGCCUUCGGGCUCCUUGGUGAUUCAUGAUAACUUAACGAAUCGCAUGGCCUUGCGCCGGCGAUGGUUCAUUCAAAUUUCUGCCCUAUCAACUUUCGAUGGUAGGAUAGUGGCCUACCAUGGUUUCAACGGGUAACGGGGAAUUAGGGUUCGAUUCCGGAGAGGGAGCCUGAGAAACGGCUACCACAUCCAAGGAAGGCAGCAGGCGCGCAAAUUACCCAAUCCCAAUUCGGGGAGGUAGUGACAAUAAAUACUGAUACAGGGCUCUUUUGGGUCUUGUAAUUGGAAUGAGUACAAUUUAAAUCCCUUAACGAGGAACAAUUGGAGGGCAAGUCUGGUGCCC